CUUAGUCAUGGGCCAUGAUUCUCCAAUACUACGUACGUAAGGAAGAGCCUGUUUGAUUACAAAAGAACCGGCAAAGCCAACGACGAUGUACACAAAAUUGAGAUUCCCGUCUCCAACUUCUUUGAUAUUCAAGUCAUCGUAAUUGUUGCCAAUCUUGUUGGAUAAAACGGGGUUGGUCUUGAUGUACUCUAUCAAAGAUUUCUCAU
Molecule: unclassified non-coding RNA, 206 nt
Filed under: Hevea brasiliensis (rubber tree)
Lineage: Eukaryota; Viridiplantae; Streptophyta; Magnoliopsida; Malpighiales; Euphorbiaceae
Source: RNAcentral